RNAcentral lists this ribosomal RNA (270 nucleotides) under uncultured archaeon. RNAcentral's name for it is "partial 16S ribosomal RNA". It matches the Rfam family "Archaeal small subunit ribosomal RNA", at positions 477 to 747 of the family's 1478-position model. The record is from RNAcentral.
CAGCGCCACAAGUGGUGAUCAUAUUAUUGGGUCUAAAGCGUCCGUAGCCGGUUUGGUAAAUCUCUUGUGAAAUUGUUGGGCUUAACCCAACAACGUGCAGGAGAAACUGCCAGACUAGGAACCGGGAGAAGUUAGGAGAAUGCUGGGGGGAGCGGUAAAAUGCUAUAAUCCUCAGUGGACUACCAGUGGCGAAGGCGCCUAACUAGAACGGGUUCGACGGUGAGGGACGAAAGCUAGGGGAGCAAUCCGGAUUAGAGACCCGAGUAGUCC